GAUGAAGAACGUAGCGAAAUGCGAUAAGUAGUGUGAAUUGCAGAAUUCAGUGAAUCAUCGAAUCUUUGAACGCACAUUGCGCCCCUUGGUAUUCCAUGGGGCAUGCCUGUUCGAGCGUCAUUUGUACCUUCAAGCUUUGCUUGGUGUUGGGUGUUUGUCCAUUCUCUUGCAGAGGGACUCGCCUUAAAGUAAUUGGCAGCCAGUGUUUUGGUUUUGAAGCGCAGCACAAGUCGCGAUUCAAAGCUAUACGCCCGCUUCCACAAGCCUUUUUCACUUUUGACCUCGGAUCAGGUAGGGACACCCGCUGAACUUAAGCAUAUCAAUAAGCGGAGGA
RNAcentral lists this unclassified non-coding RNA (334 nucleotides) under soil metagenome. Its description in RNAcentral is "partial contains 5.8S ribosomal RNA, internal transcribed spacer 2, and large subunit ribosomal RNA". The stretch from base 1 to 120 matches the Rfam family "5.8S ribosomal RNA", at positions 35 to 154 of the family's 154-position model. The record is from RNAcentral.